UUUUUAUUAUCCUUUUUCCCUACUUCAGGGCUAGUUGUCAUGUUUGGACUUGGAGAUUUUUUUCAAAUAUGAAAAUAUCAUAAAUUUUUUUACCAUGUAAAAAUUUGUUGGGUGGCAAUACUUACAGCGUUGAAUAAAACUAUAAAUUUUUUUACCAUGUAAAAUUCGUUCUAGGGGUGGGACUUAGGGGAAUUUUGGUGCCCAGGAGGGUAACCAAGGUUGAGCCUUUUAUGCUUUAAUUCAGGGCUAGUUUCUAGGAGAUAAUAUGUUAGAGCCAAGGACCAUAUUUUUGUGUUACACUUUCAGCUUCUCAGCUAUAACACCUUCAACACAAGGAGAAAGUCCCCG
This 348-nucleotide unclassified non-coding RNA is filed under the name Puccinia esclavensis. Lineage: Eukaryota; Fungi; Basidiomycota; Pucciniomycetes; Pucciniales; Pucciniaceae. The record is from RNAcentral.